This 685-nucleotide ribosomal RNA is filed under the name Klebsiella sp. BAB-5799. RNAcentral describes it as "bacterial SSU rRNA". It matches the Rfam family "Bacterial small subunit ribosomal RNA", at positions 763 to 1447 of the family's 1533-position model. Lineage: Bacteria; Pseudomonadati; Pseudomonadota; Gammaproteobacteria; Enterobacterales; Enterobacteriaceae. The record is from RNAcentral.
GGGGAGCAAAACAGGAUUAGAUACCCUGGUAGUCCACGCCGUAAACGAUGUCGAUUUGGAGGUUGUGCCCUUGAGGCGUGGCUUCCGGAGCUAACGCGUUAAAUCGACCGCCUGGGGAGUACGGCCGCAAGGUUAAAACUCAAAUGAAUUGACGGGGGCCCGCACAAGCGGUGGAGCAUGUGGUUUAAUUCGAUGCAACGCGAAGAACCUUACCUGGUCUUGACAUCCACAGAACUUACCAGAGAUGCUUUGGUGCCUUCGGGAACUGUGAGACAGGUGCUGCAUGGCUGUCGUCAGCUCGUGUUGUGAAAUGUUGGGUUAAGUCCCGCAACGAGCGCAACCCUUAUCCUUUGUUGCCAGCGGUUAGGCCGGGAACUCAAAGGAGACUGCCAGUGAUAAACUGGAGGAAGGUGGGGAUGACGUCAAGUCAUCAUGGCCCUUACGACCAGGGCUACACACGUGCUACAAUGGCAUAUACAAAGAGAAGCGACCUCGCGAGAGCAAGCGGACCUCAUAAAGUAUGUCGUAGUCCGGAUUGGAGUCUGCAACUCGACUCCAUGAAGUCGGAAUCGCUAGUAAUCGUAGAUCAGAAUGCUACGGUGAAUACGUUCCCGGGCCUUGUACACACCGCCCGUCACACCAUGGGAGUGGGUUGCAAAAGAAGUAGGUAGCUUAACCUUCGGGA